CGGAGCUUUGCAUUCCAGACCGGGCCUCAGCUGAGACCCCAGGAAGCUCCCUCUAAAGGGAGGCUGCGGAGAUGCACCCUGGGCUCCAGCCCUAGCGCACACUUCCUGCUCUGCCCCUGGACAUUCAAGCCAAAAAUUUACAAAACAUCCUCUCCCCUGGAACCGAGUGCUUGCUCCAGGAGACCCAGCCCUCCCCACGUCGGAUCUCAGCCUGCCCUCCCCUUCCUUCCGCGGAACCUCUCCCACAUCAGAGGCGCUCGGCUUCCCGAGCAGAGAUGCUGGACCCGCUGUAGCAGGUGAUACCCGAGGGAGCGAGGCGAUCGGGGACAACUGGCCACGAGUCCCAAGGGUUCCAAGCCAGAGGAAAAAAGGUCCUGGUCUGGGCUGCUGGCGUGUUCAUUCUUCAGAGUCAAUUGGGAAUCAGUUCAAAGACAGAAUCAACAAAGUCUCCAGAACGAUCAAAACUGUUGUGUUUAUCUCUGGGAGCUGGAUGAAUUGUAAAGUAUCCAGACACCCCAGCCCUCUUGUCUAGACGUCAGGCAAAACCCCUGCCCUCCUGUUAUGGUUAAGACCCACCCGCCAGGCCUUAUCUUGCAUCAUUUUUGCUUUUGUUCUUGUUAUCAAAAUCUGUAAGGCAGUCAUAAUUCAUCAAGGUCUGCCAACCCCUUUCAGGGGAAGACGUCUGUCUGGCAGUGUCAGCCUUUGUUCUUAAUUUUGGAGCUGCUCUUUCUGUGGGAACCUGCAACUCUGAAAAUCAAGAGUAGGAUAAGAAACGCCUUUAUCCAUGCACGGAGAUCAUGAAG
RNAcentral lists this long non-coding RNA (803 nucleotides) under Moschus moschiferus (Siberian musk deer). RNAcentral's name for it is "lncRNA (ENSMMSG00000004182.1)". Lineage: Eukaryota; Metazoa; Chordata; Mammalia; Artiodactyla; Moschidae. The record is from RNAcentral.